UCGGCGUUGGACCAUUGAUAUCUUCUAGCCAUACGUUCAAACGGAUAAAAGAAAACCUCCCAAUCUUCUUGGCCGUCAAAUGCCGCUAGCUUAGGACGCGGGACAUCUUCAAAUACAGACCGGUUAUUGGCAGAACUCCUAAAGGAUCCGCCUUGUCGAGCUGCCGGUGUUGAGCUUCCACCAUGCGCAAGUGGUGCUUGUGGAACGCUCAUUUGCUCUGCAUCAGAUGUUUGAAAUUGUCUGUUCCGUUGGACAGAUGACUGGAAAGAAUUGAUCACAGACAAUUCAGGAUUGAAUACAGAAUGCCUUGGUGUACUGCUCCUUUGUUGUGCUGCAGCAUCUCCUUUUGAAUAUACGGAGUCUUCUCUGAUCUUUUCCACCUCAGUGACCUCACUUCUGACACCAGUGUAGCGUCUAGAUGCUAUCGCGGUUCUUUGGAACCUGGCGUGGGACACGCUACUAUGGACGACAGACGACAAGCGCGUUGUGUUAGGUUGCCAUCUUUAUUUCGUCUGCUGUACACCACGUGACAUUAGUUGCGCGUAGCUGUAAGGCGUGACUAGUCGAGCAGGCAGUACUACACGAUAACACUACAAUA
Haliotis rubra (blacklip abalone) is the source of this 598-nucleotide long non-coding RNA. RefSeq lists it as uncharacterized. The record is from RefSeq and is a predicted model, not a curated record. NCBI's taxonomy places the organism in Eukaryota, Metazoa, Mollusca, Gastropoda, Lepetellida, Haliotidae. The transcript is spliced from 3 exons.